This 85-nucleotide transfer RNA is filed under the name Rothia mucilaginosa ATCC 25296. RNAcentral describes it as "tRNA-Leu". It matches the Rfam family "tRNA". From Rfam's summary of the family: Transfer RNA (tRNA) molecules are approximately 80 nucleotides in length. Their secondary structure includes four short double-helical elements and three loops (D, anti-codon, and T loops). Lineage: Bacteria; Bacillati; Actinomycetota; Actinomycetes; Micrococcales; Micrococcaceae. The record is from RNAcentral.
GCGCGAGUGGUGAAAUUGGCAGACACGCAGGAUUUAGGUUCCUGUGCCUUAUGGCGUGGGGGUUCAAGUCCCCCCUCGCGCACAC